AAGGAAUAUUGGUCAAUGGACGCAAGUCUGAACCAGCCAUGCCGCGUGGAGGAUGAAGGUCCUCUGGAUUGUAAACUUCUUUUAUUUGGGACGAAACACUCCUAUUCUUAGGGGCCUGACGGUACCAGAUGAAUAAGCACCGGCUAACUCCGUGCCAGCAGCCGCAGUAAUACGGAGGGUGCAAGCGUUAUCCGGAUUCACUGGGUUUAAAGGGUGCGUAGGUGGGUAUGUAAGUCAGUGGUGAAAUCCCCGAGCUUAACUUGGGAACUGCCGUUGAUACUAUAUAUCUUGAAUGUCGUAGAGGUUAGCGGAAUAUGUCAUGUAGCGGUGAAAUGCUUAGAGAUGACAUAGAACACCAAUUGCGAAGGCAGCUUGCUAUGCGAUUAUUGACACUGAGGCACGAAAGCGUGGGUAGCAAACA
RNAcentral lists this ribosomal RNA (421 nucleotides) under uncultured bacterium. RNAcentral describes it as "bacterial SSU rRNA". It matches the Rfam family "Bacterial small subunit ribosomal RNA", at positions 356 to 774 of the family's 1533-position model. The record is from RNAcentral.